This 559-nucleotide ribosomal RNA is filed under the name uncultured Glomus. RNAcentral describes it as "SSU rRNA". It matches the Rfam family "Eukaryotic small subunit ribosomal RNA", at positions 546 to 1106 of the family's 1831-position model. The record is from RNAcentral. Lineage: Eukaryota; Fungi; Glomeromycota; Glomeromycetes; Glomerales; Glomeraceae.
AAUUGGAGGGCAAGUCUGGUGCCAGCAGCCGCGGUAAUUCCAGCUCCAAUAGCGUAUAUUAAAGUUGUUGCAGUUAAAAAGCUCGUAGUUGAAUUUCGGGGUUAGUAGGUUGGUCAUGCCUCUGGUAUGUACUGAUCUCACUGAUUCCUCCUUCCUUAUGAACCGUAAUGCCAUUAAUUUGGUGUUGCGGGGAAUUUGGACUGUUACUUUGAAAAAAUUAGAGUGUUUAAAGCAGGCUAACGCUUGAAUACAUUAGCAUGGAAUAAUGAAAUAGGACGUUCGAUCUUAUUUUGUUGGUUUCUAGGAUUGACGUAAUGAUUAAUAGGGAUAGUUGGGGGCAUUAGUAUUCAAUUGUCAGAGGUGAAAUUCUUGGAUUUAUUGAAGACUAACUACUGCGAAAGCAUUUGCCAAGGAUGUUUUCAUUAAUCAAGAACGAAAGUUAGGGGAUCGAAGACGAUCAGAUACCGUCGUAGUCUUAACCAUAAACUAUGCCGACUAGGGAUCGGAUGAUGUUAAUUUUUUAAUGACUCAUUCGGCGCCUUACGGGAAACCAAAGUGU